AAUUCUCAACCUCACCAGUUUUCUAAACUGUUCUUCGAGGCUUGGAUGUGGGGGUUUGUGCAGGCUGCCUCUGGCGGUCUGCUCCCCUGAAAUGCAUUAGCGAGUUCAUACUGAGCUCCGUCUAUUGGUGUGAUAAUUAUCUACGCCGUGGACGAGGUUCAGACUUGCUUCUAACCGUCCGUAAGGACAAUACCUUGACA
RNAcentral lists this unclassified non-coding RNA (200 nucleotides) under uncultured Agaricales. RNAcentral describes it as "sequence contains ITS2". Lineage: Eukaryota; Fungi; Basidiomycota; Agaricomycetes; Agaricales. The record is from RNAcentral.